CCUACGGGGUGCAGCAGUCGCGAAAACUUCGCAAUGGGGGCAACCCCGACGAGGGGAUUCCAAGUGCCAGCACUAUGUGUUGGCUGUUCUCCUGUCUAAAAAACAGGAGGAGUAAGGGGCGGGAAAGACGGGUGCCAGCCGCCGCGGUAAUACCUGCGCCCCAAGUGGUGGUCGAUAUUAUUGAGCCUAAAACGUCCGUAGCCGGCCUUUUAAAUCUUUGGGUAAAUCGGACAGCUUAACUGUCCGAAUUCCGAGGAGACUGGAAGGCUUGGGACCGGGAGAGGUUAGAGGUACUUCUGGGGUAGGGGUAAAAUCCUGUAAUCCUGGAAGGACCACCGGUGGCGAAGGCGUCUGACUAGAACGGAUCCGACGGUGAGGGACGAAGCCCUGGGGCGCAAACGGGAUUAGAUACCCCCGUAGUCC
RNAcentral lists this ribosomal RNA (423 nucleotides) under uncultured euryarchaeote. RNAcentral describes it as "bacterial SSU rRNA". It matches the Rfam family "Archaeal small subunit ribosomal RNA", at positions 322 to 747 of the family's 1478-position model. The record is from RNAcentral. Lineage: Archaea; Methanobacteriati; Methanobacteriota.